RNAcentral lists this ribosomal RNA (253 nucleotides) under uncultured bacterium. Its description in RNAcentral is "partial 16S ribosomal RNA". It matches the Rfam family "Bacterial small subunit ribosomal RNA", at positions 524 to 776 of the family's 1533-position model. The record is from RNAcentral. RNAcentral also lists the same sequence under 2 other names.
UACGGAGGAUCCGAGCGUUAUCCGGAUUUAUUGGGUUUAAAGGGUGCGCAGGCGGGAUGUUAAGUCGGCGGUGAAAUUUUGCAGCUCAACUGUAAAAGUGCCUUCGAUACUGGCUUUCUUGAGUGUGGAUGAAGUAGGCGGAAUUUGUGGUGUAGCGGUGAAAUGCUUAGAUAUCACGAGGAACUCCGAUUGCGCAGGCAGCUUACUAAACCACUACUGACGCUCAUGCACGAAGGCGUGGGGAUCAAACAGG